Molecule: long non-coding RNA, 1157 nt
Organism: Dendroctonus ponderosae (mountain pine beetle)
Lineage: Eukaryota; Metazoa; Arthropoda; Insecta; Coleoptera; Curculionidae
Exons: 2
Source: RefSeq, a predicted model, not a curated record
CUGCUAUCCUCUGCUGUCAGGUAAACUCCACCUACGUAUAAAGGCCAGAGUUUACAAGCAAAUGAUACGCCCGGUGCUGACCUAUGGAUCUCCUGCGUGGUCCACAGCCAGCACCUCGCAAAAGCAGAAACUGGCAGUAUUCCAAAAUAAAAUCCUGAGGAUAGUGACAAAGGCCCCGUACUUCGUCAGAAAUACCACCCUGCGAAGAGACCUGGAUAUAGAGGAGCUGCUGGACCACAUCCGGAACCUAACGUCAGGGUUCCUGGAUAGGAUCCGGCACCGCAAGAAUCCCACCGUCAGGGUUUCUUGCACCAAGAAGUUCAACUGUGACAGCAGACCUCUCCCUGCGGACACAGUCUAAGAAGCAGAYGUGGACCACAUGCGAUGACCAGUUCCUGCACCACAACGAGGACCAUGGGCUAGAUUAAAGUUAGCUUAGGAAGCGUUAGAGGAUGUGUUAGGUUAGGUUUAGGUUAGAAUAGGUUAGAUUAAGUCAUACGAUGUCAUUUAAAACAACAAGAUGUUAGCAUUAAGGAUCCAUAGAAUAAGUAGCAGUAAGAAGUAUUGUAAAACUUGUCUGAAAUAAAUAUGUUCAAAAGCAAGCAAAGUAACUGAACUGUUAAGCACUGAACUGUUAAGUUGCCUAUAACGUGUGGCCGUUAAAAAUAGCAUUUAUGAUACAGCGCAGGGCUGAUUGUAACAAUUAAGUUAUGAAUAAAGUUUGACUGAUAAAGUGUAAAAAAAGUAUAAAAGAAAAGUGACAAUAAUUAAUUUCGUAAUUAUUCGAUAGUGCCCAUCACUAGUUUUGAGACAAGUUUUAGGAUGUUAAAACAAAGGCUGCAGCGCACUCACCUCGCUAUCAUUGCUGUGCAAUUUGAGGACGUAGCCAGGCAGGAGAUCUUUGCGGGCGUUCACGUCCUCGAGAGCAAGUCGGGCGGCCGGCAUGCACGCCUGACCGCCCUGCCACCCGGCUUGACCGCCAAUGGGGAAAAUGCCGCCAAUGUGCAGCACGUUGCUGUCCGUGUAUCCGCCGCCCACCGUCACCAACAUCCGACUCAGCGCUAUCAAGAGCGUCCACAGCGUCCAUGGCACUGAUGGUUGCUGAAACAAUCAAAUUUCCUGUGAAUCCGAUUAAACUGAAUAAAGUAUUGAUCGAG